This 260-nucleotide unclassified non-coding RNA is filed under the name Glomeraceae sp. RNAcentral's name for it is "partial internal transcribed spacer 2". The stretch from base 1 to 70 matches the Rfam family "5.8S ribosomal RNA", at positions 84 to 154 of the family's 154-position model. Lineage: Eukaryota; Fungi; Glomeromycota; Glomeromycetes; Glomerales; Glomeraceae. The record is from RNAcentral.
GUGAAUCAUCGAAUUUUUGAACGCAAAUUGCACUCCCUGGUAUUCCGGGAGGAUGCCCGUUUGAGGGUUGUUUGAAACAAAAAUCAAGCGUCGCCCUUUUUUUUAAGGGUGAUUGCGGCCGAAUUGAGCCCUCUUUCCAAAGUUAAUUCAUGUCAAAGUGGCUUAAAAAUCAUUCAUUCGGUUAGAUUAAAGUGUAUUUAAGAACAAUUUUGAUUAAGAACGCGCGAUGAAAGUAACAAUCCAUGUAGUUAGUUUGAAUU